Long non-coding RNA from Helianthus annuus (common sunflower), 786 nucleotides. RefSeq lists it as uncharacterized. The transcript is spliced from 3 exons. Lineage: Eukaryota; Viridiplantae; Streptophyta; Magnoliopsida; Asterales; Asteraceae. The record is from RefSeq and is a predicted model, not a curated record.
GAGCAUCGCUCUGUUGAAGGAGAUAGCAACCUAUAUCCAUCGAUUCAAUCGUCGAAGCAUCGAGACGUCUGCCUCGCUUGCCAUUGUGGCGUUCACGAGUUUGAAAGCUAAAAACCAAGGUCUUCAACUCCAGCUCAAAAAGAAAGCAUUACAACUAGAGCGAAGCGUCAAUUGGAAUUCCACGACUCAGAUCCACCGUUGAAAAGGCCUGGCAAAGGGAGCCUCACGAACUAAGACCCAGUUAACAGAAGUUCGUCCUUUUGUCAACCAAUACAAGAACGGCAAGUGGGAUGGCGGUCAAGAGCUAAUUCCUUUUGUGCAGAUGAUGAUGACUGCCUGCUAACUACACGCUGCAUAUACAAGCAGCGUAACAAAUCAGCCUUGUAAAACAUGGCUGAAUGUUGUUAAUCACACCAACAUGCAUGCCUGAACAUACAAUUUUUUGAUGGCUGCGUUUGUUAACAGCAGCGUGAUAACAUAAUGCUAUUCAGUUAUCGACAUAACCAAAUCUCGCUGCUGUAACCAAGUGAAUGUUGCGCAACGCGCGAACGCUCGAAUACCCCUAGUUUAAUUAAAUGUGAACUUGAUUUUCACCUACAACCAACUUAAUAUCAGGAAAUUCAUGUUCGGCAUAUGUUUUGGUUGAAAUUCACACCCUCUUGUCUUUGGAAAGAGGGAUGGGGUAAACAUUUAUAAAUAUAAUUGGAUUAAUUAUAUAUGUUUUAGGAUUGCUUUGUAAUUAUUAUAGGAAAUGUGUCUCAAGAUUUGAGAAGUGGCGAUGGUGUA